UACGUAGGGGGCAAGCGUUGUCCGGAAUCAUUGGGCGUAAAGCGCGUGUAGGCGGCUUGAUAAGUCCGGUGUGAAAUCUUGGGGCUCAACCCCAAGCCUGCAUCGGAUACUGUCUCGCUAGAGAUCGGGAGGGGAGAGCGGAAUUCCUAGUGUAGCGGUGAAAUGCGCAGAUAUUAGGAAGAACACCGGUGGCGAAGGCGGCUCUCUGGAACGAUACUGACGCUGAGACGCGAAAGCGUGGGGAGCGAACAGG
This 253-nucleotide ribosomal RNA is filed under the name uncultured bacterium. Its description in RNAcentral is "partial 16S ribosomal RNA". It matches the Rfam family "Bacterial small subunit ribosomal RNA", at positions 524 to 776 of the family's 1533-position model. The record is from RNAcentral.